Long non-coding RNA from Oncorhynchus keta (chum salmon), 3371 nucleotides. RefSeq lists it as uncharacterized. The record is from RefSeq and is a predicted model, not a curated record. The transcript is spliced from 4 exons. Lineage: Eukaryota; Metazoa; Chordata; Actinopteri; Salmoniformes; Salmonidae.
UCAAAUGACAACUUGAACAGGUCUUUCAUAUUUUUAUAUUCAUAAAGAAAGUUCAAAGAUCUCUAAGCUAUUUUUCAUAUUAAUAUUCUUCAAAAGUAACAGAAAUGUAGAAUUAUAUUGUAUAUCAAUGGGGGGAAAAGGCAUGCAAGGACUACUUAUGUGACCAUUAGCACUUAAACAAAACUUCAGACCAGGGCUCAUGUCAUCCAUUACGUUAAUGUCUCAGACCUGAGUCUUUAUGUUCAGUGGAUUGAAUGACAGUAGAGUUAAGAUGAUGAUAUGAUUGACAGCUGACAAUUCAGUUGGCACGAGUUUGUGAGUCUUGUCUUCGCUGGCUUUGGUAAGGAUCGUCAGUAGGCGCUACAGCAGUUAGCAUCCAUGAAUGGGGUAGGCCAAUGCUAGAGCAGGCUACAUUUGCAGUGGCUAUUUACUGUAGCGUAUAUCAUGUGGGUCAUACAUCAAAUAAUAGAUACAGCUCAUAAAGUUACCAGGCAAACAAGCCAGCAGUAUUAACUGAAAAGCCUGCCGUAAUUUAAAACAAGUGCACGAAAGGUGCAAAACUGCAAACAAUGACAUGUGGCAUCAUGAAAACUCAUCAAAAUUGCUAUUAAGCUUUAGUGGCUGAUAUUCUACACAAAACCCAUGUUCUCAUUGAGUGAAUUCCUUUUAUGUUUCCUUCCUUAACGUGAAAACAUUUUGUACUCACAUUUUCAUUGACACAUACUUCCUUGGAUUGUUUUGGAGAGUUUAAUCUGAGCGUCUGGUGUGAAGGACCAACAAACGUGGCAGUUUUUUUACUCGUCCAUAGAGUUUGCUGUUCGGGCACACCUUCCACGAAUGCCCCCUCUCCACCUCCAUGCCUCAGACUUGGGGGAUUUCUGAACAGUACGGCAGCACAAUGUUUGUAUCAGGACUCAGGAUAAGACCCAGAUGCAGAGAGUUUGAAUCACAGAUGUUUAAUAACAAAACAGGGGGCAGGCAAACUACAGGCUCAGGGCAGGCUGAGGUCAGUAAACCAGGGCAGAGUCAGUAAGGUACAGAACAGCAGGCAGGCUCAGGGCAGGCUGAGGUCAGUAAUCCAGGGCAGAGUCAGUAAGGUACAGAACAGCAGGCAGGCUCAGGGCAGGCAGAGGUCAGUAAACCAGGGCAGAGUCAGUAAGGUACAGAACAGCAGGCAGGCUCAGGGCAGGCUGAGGUCAGUAAUCCAGGGCAGAGUCAGUAAGGUACAGAACAGCAGGCAGGCUCAGGGCAGGCUGAGGUCAGUAAUCCAGGGCAGAGUCAGUAAGGUACAGAACAGCAGGCAGGCUCAGGGCAGGCUGAGGUCAGUAAACCAGGGCAGAGUCAGUAAGGUACAGAACAGCAGGCAGGCUCAGGGUAGGCAGAGGUCAGUAAACCAGGGCAGAGUCAGUAAGGUACAGAACAGCAGGCAGGCUCAGGGCAGGCUGAGGUCAGUAAUCCAGGGCAGAGUCAGUAAGGUACAGAACAGCAGGCAGGCUCAGGGCAGGCUGAGGUCAGUAAUCCAGGGCAGAGUCAGUAAGGUACAGAACAGCAGGCAGGCUCAGGGCAGGCUGAGGUCAGUAAUCCAGGGCAGAGUCAGUAAGGUACAGAACAGCAGGCAGGCUCAGGGCAGGCUGAGGUCAGUAAACCAGGGCAGAGUCAGUAAGGUACAGAACGGCAGGCAGGGUCAGGGCUGGCAGAAUGAUCAAAACCGGAAGAACUAGAAAACAGGGACGAGAGAGAACAGGAGUACGUGACAAAACACGCUGGUAGGCUGGACGAGACAAGACGAACGAACUGGCAACAGACAAACAGAAAGCACAGGGGAAAAUGGGCGACACCCGGUGGAGGGGUGAAGACAAGCACACGACAGGUGAAACAGAUCACGGUUGUGACAGUUUGAAGUUUUCAUUUUGCCUUUAAUCUAAACCUUUGCCUUUAAAUAGGGGGUCCAAAUUCAUCAUACGGUACGUGACUGUGUGGUUGAAUGGGUAAAAUUCCAAAGAAAUUGGAGGUUCGGGGGUUCAAUUGCUUCUUCUGCCUUUCCAACUUUCACUCCAUAAUAACGAUGGAAUUUCGCCUCCUCCAAAAUCUCCCUAGGCCCUAUUCAGACUUGAGAUAAGUUGAUUUAACAUGACUUGAAUCCAUGUUUUAUUGAGUCCAUGCUAGGUCUACUUAUCUCAAGUCUGAAUCGGGCCACAUGUGCUCAGUAUAACAAGGGCGGUUGAGCACAACCGUUUAGUCGGUUGUUACUGACAUUACUCUCAGUUGGCUGAGGUCAUUAAGGCAGUGUUUUGACAAGCAGGACCCGGGUUCACAUCCACCUCACAUGAAUCCCAGUGAUGAAGGACCAUUUUACACAUUACCUCAUGGUACCUCUGCUAUAACUUAGAUUGCCCUAAACAUUUUGAUUGUAACAAUAUUUAUCAUCAUCUUACAAUGGGUCCUGGCAAACGUAGCCCAUAAUUAGUGCCACGGUCUAUCCUAGAAUAGGUAUUCAAUUCCCAGUGUCUUCUUUAAAAUGUUGAUUAAAAUAUUGACUGAAAAUCAUCAUUUAUCAAUAUUUAUGCCAUAAACCAUUUGCAAUUUAAAACCAUCAGAUUGGAUGCGAGACAAUCUGCCAAAACAUACUUUUUAUGUGUUGAUGCUGACUUUUUUAGUCUCUCUAUUUUGUUAACAGUGUACUACAGAGAAUAUGCUCUGGAAAAGAGACUAUGAAUGCCACGGUUCUGUUAUAGGUGACAGCGCCCACAGGCUCUGCUGCCAUGUCGUUCUCGUUGUUGUCUGUUUGUUUUCACCGAAUAUCAGCAAUGUGUUGUUGUCGGCUGACCUUUUCAAAGGGCAUUGAGGAUUCGUUCCACGACACAGAAGUAAGAUAAGGAAGUCAUUUAAGGGAUGAUGCCCGAGAAGCUGGCGUUUGGAGGAUAUAAUGGCACGGGUGUUGUUAGGCCCGAGACAAAGUGGUUCCAAGUAGAACUAUUUGGGGUUCCAGGUGGAACCCUCCGUAGAGAAGGGUUCUACCUGCAACCACAAAGGGUUCUUCAAGGGGUUAUCCUAUGGGGAUAGCCAAAGAACCCUUUAAGGUUCCAGAUAGCACCAAGUUACUGUGUAGUACACCACACGAUUUGAAGGGGGAGAAUUUCCCCCUAAUCUAAAUAGACACCUUUCCUGACCAACUGAUACAGCAUAGCUCACCAAAGUUCAUAUUAUGAAUAAUUUCAAUGUUUGAUUUUGUUGUCUCUGUAACGAGUGCGCUGAGAGUCGGGAAGCAAGUACAGGGAGUGUUUUAAUAAGUAAACAAACAAAACAAUUAACACGAAACACAAACAACACAUGAAACAGAGUCAAUAACACCCGAGGAAAGAACCAAAGGG